CCUACGGGAGGCUGCAGUAGGGAAUAUUGCUCAAUGGGGGAAACCCUGAAGCAGCAACGCCGCGUGGAGGAUGAAGGUUUUCGGAUUGUAAACUCCUUUUGUUAGAGAAGAUAAUGACGGUAUCUAAUGACUAAGCACUGGCUAACUCCGUGCCAGCAGCCGCGGUAAUACGGAGGGUGCAAGCGUUACUCGGAAUCACUGCGCGUAAAGAGCGCGUAGGCGGGAUAGCAAGUCAGAUGUGAAAUCCUAUGGCUUAACCAUAGAACUGCAUUUGAAACUGUUAUUAUAGAGUAUGGGAGAGGUAGGUGGAAUUCUUGGUGUAGGGGUAAAAUCCGUAGAGAUCAGGAGGAAUACUCAUUGCGAAGGCGACCUGCUAGAACAUAACUGACGCUGAUGCGCGAAAGCGUGGGGAGCAAACAGGAUUAGAUACCCGGGUAGUC
This 440-nucleotide ribosomal RNA is filed under the name uncultured bacterium. RNAcentral describes it as "partial 16S ribosomal RNA". It matches the Rfam family "Bacterial small subunit ribosomal RNA", at positions 338 to 795 of the family's 1533-position model. The record is from RNAcentral.